Long non-coding RNA from Teleopsis dalmanni, 744 nucleotides. RefSeq lists it as uncharacterized. The transcript is spliced from 4 exons. Lineage: Eukaryota; Metazoa; Arthropoda; Insecta; Diptera; Diopsidae. The record is from RefSeq and is a predicted model, not a curated record.
AUACAACACAUUCCGAGGCUAUCUCUAGCAAACCAUUUCAAAAUAUUUCAGAGACUUAAAAAGUUCAUUACGUUCACGGGACUCUAUCUGUACUUCUUGUGUAAGGUUCUGGAGAUUUUCUUAAUUGUGACAAUACUAUUUUCUUGUUUAUAUAUGAAAAACAAAUUUUCAAAUAAUUAUUCUUAAUAACAAGAAGAAGAAUUCUCAGGAAGGUGAAGAAGUGCAAAGACCUCAAAAAUACAACACAUUCCGAGGAUAGAGAUAGCAAAGCAUUUCAAAGUAUUUCAGAGACUUAAAAAGUUCAUUACGUUUACGGGACUCUGUCUGUACUUCUUGUGAUUUUGUCCAAAAAGCUCUAAAGGUUUUAAUACUACAUUUCCGAUAUUGAGACAUUUCAAACACUUAUAAGAGCCAUUACGUCCACGGAACUCUACUCGAACUUUCUCUGUGAGGUUUUAAAGAAAUUUUUUUUGUUUGUGUCAACACUAUUGCUGCCAUAAUUAAUUAACAACCGAAAAAUAAUGAAAGUGAGAAAGGCUGCGUUUAGUACCUCCAACCAAAUUUGCUUUAACUGCAUUCAAUUGAGGAAACGUAAUAUCUAAGGUUCAAGACGUUCCAUAGACUUAAGAACUUUAUUGCGUUCACGGCAAUCUAACUGUAAGAUCUGAAGAUAUUAGUCUUAGCUAUAACUGAAAUAAAGAUUUCAGUACUCUCGUCUAAUCUCUGAAAGUAUGGAGGAAUCUG